This is a long non-coding RNA of Daktulosphaira vitifoliae (grape phylloxera), 1118 nucleotides long. RefSeq lists it as uncharacterized. The record is from RefSeq and is a predicted model, not a curated record. The transcript is spliced from 4 exons. NCBI's taxonomy places the organism in Eukaryota, Metazoa, Arthropoda, Insecta, Hemiptera, Phylloxeridae.
GUGUUAUCUAUUUAAUAUUUCAAUUGCUUAAUAAAUAUUUAUUUAUAUCGUUGUUAACCUAAAGUGUUAUAUAUAUAUAUAUUGUAGUGCGACCCUUGGUAGUUCCUCUAAGGGAAUAUAAAUUAAAUAGGAAACUUCAGUACCUAAGGUAGAUAUAGCCUAGCCAGCUAUCCCCCGUUGGUCCCUUAGAAUACUGUCGACGGGCAUUUAGGCUCAACCCCUAAAUAGCGACGUAACAGAAUAUAUUAGUAUGUGACUAUUAAUAGUCAUUAAUGACUUCUGUAUAAAAAUCAGUAGAAUAACAAUAGAUUAGAAUUAGAACAAUCUAAUACAAUUAUAAUUAAACAAGGCAACAUAAAAAAAAAGUCAAUCCCGCUAGUAUUGAAUUAACUGACUCCAAAAUACACCGUCUACUAAUUUUAUGUACAGUGUAAAAAUUGUACCGAUAAUGCCAAACACAAUAGCACUAGCGUAUCGUAUGUUAGACCGACUUGUGGUACGGUUGAUAAGGCGAUAAAUUUACCUAUUAUUGUAUUAUAUUUAUAAUAUUAUUAUAUUAGCGGUAUUGUCCGCUACUAAAUCUGUAUCUUUUGAACGAUUAAAAACACAUUUGGAGAAAUAGUGUAGUACAGUUUCUUUAUAGUUUUCAAAAAUAAAUCUAUAAAUUAUGUUUGUCAUAUUUUUAUUUUUAACACAAUAAUUAAACGCAUUGUGUCCAUCCUAAUCUAGAGUUUCUCAUUGUUUUUAGCAUUCAAAAUCAAAUAAAGUAGGCAUGGAGUUAAAAAGCAAUACACUUCAUAUUGUGAAUUUCAAAAAUGUACAAGUCACGGCAAAGAAUCUAUAGAUCUUGUGCCAGCAUCUCUGGGUCUAUAAAGUUAAUGGAAAGUUCUUUUGUAAAUUCCCAAAUAAAUCUCAAUACAAAAAUAUUGUUCUUAUUACAAAAGCCGGAAUUGUUCCAGAUGAAUCAUGGAAGAGUUUUGAAGUGUCACUUAUGAAAGAGGCUAAGAAAUAGUUAUGAUCAAGGAUUUAGGAGAAUGAGUAGGGACUUUGAGGAUCCUAAUGUUAUAAAAAGCAGUACGUUCGAACAGACAAAUUCAGACCAAGAAAUAUUUUUUAAA